AGAGACACAGUAGAGACCAGUGGAUUAUUAUCAGGGAGUGACUCAACAUAAAUAAACCUGGACAAACCAGUUGGUCUGGUCGGUACACUUCUUUACCUGCUGCUAGGAGAGAGGAGGAACGUAGAACUACUGAAACCUGACAACAGACAGAGGCCAGGUGAGGGUUUAGGGGGGGACAGGGAGACAGAGAGAGGCCAGGUGAGGGUAUAGGGGAGGACAGAGAGAGAGAGAGAGAGAGAGAGAGGCCAGGUGAGGGUAUAGGGGAGGACAGAGAGAGAGAGAGGCCAGGUGAGGGUAUAGGGGAGGACAGAGAGAGAGAGAGGCCAGGUGAGGGUAUAGGGGAGGACAGAGGAGUAAAUACAGGUCACCUUUGUAGUCCACCUGCCUCUCUCUCCCUGCCACUCCCCAGGAGUCAGGAAUGUUGUUUUCAUUCCAGCCAGGUAGAAAAGACAGGUGGAACAUAAUCUCUUCAGACCUGCUUAUUGUUUUGAAAGUUCAAAGUCUCCUACAAAAUAAAUAUAAUAUAAUCAUUUACGCCAUUUAGCAGACACUUUUAUCCAAGGUAAAUUACAGUAAUGCGUGCAUCCAUUUUAUUUAUUUUUUACAUAUGGGUGGUCCCUGGAAUCAAACCCACUAUCCUGGUAUUACAAGCACCAUGCUCUCCCACCUGAUCUCCAGAGGACCACGUAAAUCCAUACAUGUUGGAAUAAUGCAUCUUAACCAGCCAAGAAAACAUACAAGUACCUGAAACGUCACGGUCUCUCUGCACCUACUCAUUGGUUCUACCACUGCAGUGUUGGCAGACGAACAAACACACACCGCUGAGUUAAUCUCCUGGCCCCAAGUCCUACCCACUGUGGACUGGACCAAGGAGGGCUAGUAGUUAGCCUGUAAAUACUGGGAGGAAUGCAGGGUUCUCUGAAGCUGACAGGCUGCUCCAGCUUCAGGUCAGGGUUCAUCUCAGUACCCCAGGUCAGAGACCUACCAAUCCCCCCCACCACUAGAUACCUACCAAUCCCCCCCCACCA
This is a long non-coding RNA of Oncorhynchus tshawytscha (Chinook salmon), 1028 nucleotides long. The record is from Ensembl. NCBI's taxonomy places the organism in Eukaryota, Metazoa, Chordata, Actinopteri, Salmoniformes, Salmonidae.